CCCACUCCGAGGGGAACACUGCAAUGUGCAUUGGGCCUCUCCACCUGCACGCUGAAGCUGUAUUGCUAUGUGGAGAACAGCCUUGUCCUCCUGGUCUGGAAGGUCAGGCAUGUGCCGGCUGCUUGAUGGAGGGGAUGAGAGCAGAGCAGCAGGCUGGAGGAGCUGCCUCACACCGUGCCACGUCCACCUGCCUUGAGCAAUAUCUCUGGGUUAGCCUUCUAAUGAGCAUGAAACUACCUCAGCAAGUCCAUGACCUACAAACGACCUGCAGUCAUCCCAGAAGCAGCGGUGCUGAACCACAUCACAAGUUAUUCUCCUUUUCCAACAACUUGUAGACCAGUGGGAAUAAGCACAGCACUUUUCCCCCAUAAUCCUUAGCAUCCAGUCUGGAGGCAAGCAGUCUCAAAAGGGUCCAAGGUUUCACUGCUUUCAUCUUGAGGCAACACAGAGCUACUUAAGAACGGCAUCUCUGUCUGACACAUUUAAUUCAUUUGAGAGGUCUAAUGCAAUUUCCUGG
This 517-nucleotide long non-coding RNA is filed under the name Numida meleagris (helmeted guineafowl). Its description in RNAcentral is "lncRNA (ENSNMEG00000012808.1)". The record is from RNAcentral. Lineage: Eukaryota; Metazoa; Chordata; Aves; Galliformes; Numididae.